UACGAAGGGGGCUAGCGUUGCUCGGAAUCACUGGGCGUAAAGCGCACGUAGGCGGAUUGUUAAGUCAGGGGUGAAAUCCUGGAGCUCAACUCCAGAACUGCCUUUGAUACUGGCGAUCUCGAGUCCGGGAGAGGUGAGUGGAACUGCGAGUGUAGAGGUGAAAUUCGUAGAUAUUCGCAAGAACACCAGUGGCGAAGGCGGACUCACUGGCCCGGUACUGACGCUGAGGUGCGAAAGCGUGGGGAGCGAACAGG
This 254-nucleotide ribosomal RNA is filed under the name uncultured bacterium. RNAcentral's name for it is "partial 16S ribosomal RNA". It matches the Rfam family "Bacterial small subunit ribosomal RNA", at positions 524 to 776 of the family's 1533-position model. The record is from RNAcentral.